Molecule: long non-coding RNA, 311 nt
Filed under: Prunus persica (peach)
Lineage: Eukaryota; Viridiplantae; Streptophyta; Magnoliopsida; Rosales; Rosaceae
Description: long non-coding RNA (PPER_LNC008541)
Source: RNAcentral
UUCGCUAAUGGAGUGGUUGGUGUAUUUCAUAGUUUUUGCCAUUGGAUUUCACUCAAAACCCACAAAUAGACUCCUCCCACUAUAUUAUGAUGUUACCCAAGUUUUGGACUCAAUCCGGUAUCGAUUGGGCCAUGAAAUUGGACAUUUCAGGUUCGUACGAAGUUCUUUCUGAAAUGGAGUGGUUAAUGUACUGCAUAGUUCUAGAGAUUUGAUUUCACUCAAAACCCACCAAAUGACUCCUCCCACUAUAUUAUGACGUUUCCCAAGUUUUGGCCUGAAUCUGAUUUCGAUUGUUACAUGAAAUUCGACAA